GAUCAAUUGGAGGGCAAGUCUGGUGCCAGCAGCCGCGGUAAUUCCAGCUCCAAUAGCGUAUAUUAAAGUUGUUGCAGUUAAAAAGCUCGUAGUUGGAUUUCUGUUUUGGAUGUCCGGUCCGCUCCCUCUGGGAGUGCGUACUUAUGGAUGUUCGAGGCAUUUUUUGUGAGGCUGCCUUUCUGCCAUUAAGUUGGUGGGUUGGUGGGCUUGCAUCGUUUACUGUGAAAAAAUUAGAGAGUUUAAAGCAGGCGUUUGCUCAUUUGAAUACAUUAGCAUGGAAUAAUAAGAUACGGCCUUGGUGGUCUAUUUUGUUGAUUUGCACACCAGGGUAAUGAUUAAUAGGGACUGUUGGGGGUAUUCAUAUUUCAGCGUCAGAGGUGAAAUUCUUG
This 389-nucleotide ribosomal RNA is filed under the name Phytophthora cinnamomi. RNAcentral describes it as "SSU rRNA". It matches the Rfam family "Eukaryotic small subunit ribosomal RNA", at positions 539 to 922 of the family's 1831-position model. The record is from RNAcentral. Lineage: Eukaryota; Oomycota; Peronosporomycetes; Peronosporales; Peronosporaceae.